RNAcentral lists this ribosomal RNA (597 nucleotides) under uncultured bacterium. Its description in RNAcentral is "bacterial SSU rRNA". It matches the Rfam family "Bacterial small subunit ribosomal RNA", at positions 239 to 852 of the family's 1533-position model. The record is from RNAcentral.
CAUUAGCUAGUAGGUGAGGUAAGAGCUCACCUAGGCGACGAUGUGUAGCCGGUCUGAGAGGAUGAACGGCCACAAUGGAACUGAGACACGGUCCAUACUCCUACGGGAGGCAGCAGUGGGGAAUAUUGCACAAUGGGGGAAACCCUGAUGCAGCAACGCCGCGUGAGUGAAGAAGGUUUUCGGAUUGUAAAGCUCUGUUAGCAGGGAAGAGGAAGGACGGUACCUGCAGAGGAAGCCACGGCUAACUACGUGCCAGCAGCCGCGGUAAUACGUAGGUGGCAAGCGUUGUUCGGAAUAACUGGGCGUAAAGGAUGCGUAGGCGGUUGAGUAAGUUAUGUGUUAAAUAUAUAGGCUUAACCUGUAGAAAGCACAUAAAACUGUUUAACUAGAGUGCAGGAGAGGUAAGUGGAAUUCCUAGUGUAGCGGUGAAAUGCGUAGAGAUUAGGAAGAACACCAGUGGCGAAGGCGACUUACUGGACUGUAACUGACGCUGAGGCAUGAGAGCAUGGGGAGCAAACAGGAUUAGAUACCCUGGUAGUCCAUGCUGUAAACGAUGGGUACUAGGUGUGGGUUGUGAAUAACAAUCCGUGCCGUCGC